RNAcentral lists this transfer RNA (73 nucleotides) under Emticicia oligotrophica DSM 17448. RNAcentral describes it as "tRNA-fMet (CAT) (tRNA-fMet-CAT-1-1)". It matches the Rfam family "tRNA". Rfam says of the family: Transfer RNA (tRNA) molecules are approximately 80 nucleotides in length. RNAcentral also lists the same sequence under 7 other names. The record is from RNAcentral. Lineage: Bacteria; Pseudomonadati; Bacteroidota; Cytophagia; Cytophagales; Leadbetterellaceae.
CGCGGGAUGGAGCAGUUGGCAGCUCGUUGGGCUCAUAACCCAAAGGUCACAGGUUCGAGUCCUGUUCCCGCUA